RNAcentral lists this ribosomal RNA (1388 nucleotides) under Oxymeris dimidiata (dimidiate auger shell). RNAcentral describes it as "LSU rRNA". It matches the Rfam family "Bacterial large subunit ribosomal RNA", at positions 542 to 2758 of the family's 2925-position model. The record is from RNAcentral. Lineage: Eukaryota; Metazoa; Mollusca; Gastropoda; Neogastropoda; Terebridae.
AGUAGUUUAAAAUCUGUGAGGAAUAAUAGAUUAAAGCUUUAUUAAUAUUAGUAGAGGCGAUCUAAGUUUAUUGUGGUGUUUUCUGGUGAAAAGUACCGUAAGGGAAAUUUUGUUAGUUUUAUAUAAGAAAAGAUUAAUGUUUGUACCUUUUGUAUCAUGGUUUGGCUAGAUUUAACUUAUGUAUUUAAUUUCUCGAAAUCUAAUGAGCUAUUUUUGACCUUCAUAUUAGGGGAAAAAAGGUAAUUGUUGCAAAAAUUUCUUUAGAGUCAAAAAUAGUGAUGAAAUUUUAUUCGCGUUGGAUGAUAGCUAGUUCUUUCUUAGGGGCAUAGAAGUGCCAUAAAUUGGUUUAAUUUUAACAGAGUUUUUUUGUUAAUUUAGUUCUAGUUUAGUUAGACUUCUGAGGAUAAGCUCGGGAGAGUAGUAAUACUUGUAUAUGUUGUUUUAUUUUGAAUUUAGGCUUGAAAAUGGCUAUAAUAGGUGGAUUUUGUUAUAAUAGCAUUAAUUUGGGCGUAGGAAAAUAUAAUUGAUUUUAUUUAGUGUUUUAGGAAAGAAAAUUUAAUAUUUAUUAGUGGGAUUGUUUUUAUGCUAAAAUGAGUAUUUAUUGUGAUGAAAUGUUUCUGUAAACUGUAGUGCCUAACAGUAGGUUAGAUUGUUAGGAUUUGAUUUUAGAUUUAAGAAAUAAAAUUAUGAAAAGGAACUCGGCAAAUACACACCCUGCCUGUUUAUUAAAAACAUGGCUCCUUGUAGUGAUAAAAUAGGGAGUCGGACCUGCCCGGUGAAAUAUUUUUAACGGCCGCGGUACUCUGACCGUGCAAAGGUAGCAUAAUCAUUUGCCUUAUAAUUGAAGGCUAGUAUGAAUGGUUUGACAAGAGUGUAGCUGUCUCUUCAUAAUUUGGUAGAACUUUAUCUUGAGGUGAAAAAGCCUUAAUGUAAUUGAUAGACAAGAAGACCCUAUCGAGCUUAAAAGAAUUUAGUGGACUUAAGUAGCUUAUUGUUUAAGAGGUAUAGCUGCUAAGAUUUUUGGUUGGGGCGACUGAGAACAUCUAAAGCUUCCUUUAUAUAGAUAUACGUACGAGUGUUGAUCCAAAAUUAAUGAUUAAAGGAAUUAGUUACCGUAGGGAUAACAGCAUUAUCCUCUUUGAGAGUUCUUAUCGAAAAGGGGGUUUGUGACCUCGAUGUUGGACCAGAAUGUCCUGAAGAUGCAGAAGUCUUUUAAGGGUUGGUCUGUUCGACCAUUAAAAUUCUACGUGAUCUGAGUUUAGACCGGCGUGAGCCAGGUCAGUUUCUAUCUUUAAUUUAUAAAAUAAACUUAGUACGAAAGGACCAGUUUAUUGUAAGAUUGUUUUAUGUUUAAAUGAAGAAAUUUAAUGUAGUUUUGUGAGUAAGUU